This 728-nucleotide ribosomal RNA is filed under the name uncultured bacterium. RNAcentral's name for it is "bacterial SSU rRNA". It matches the Rfam family "Bacterial small subunit ribosomal RNA", at positions 773 to 1501 of the family's 1533-position model. The record is from RNAcentral.
CAGGAUUAGAUACCCUGGUAGUCCACGCCGUAAACGAUGUCGACUUGGAGGUUGUGCCCUUGAGGCGUGGCUUCCGGAGCUAACGCGUUAAGUCGACCGCCUGGGGAGUACGGCCGCAAGGUUAAAACUCAAAUGAAUUGACGGGGGCCCGCACAAGCGGUGGAGCAUGUGGUUUAAUUCGAUGCAACGCGAAGAACCCUACCUGGUCUUGACAUCCACGGAAGUUUUCAGAGAUGAGAAUGUGCCUUCGGGAACCGUGAGACAGGUGCUGCAUGGCUGUCGUCAGCUCGUGUUGUGAAAUGUUGGGUUAAGUCCCGCAACGAGCGCAACCCUUACCCUUUGUUGCCAGCGGUCCGGCCGGGAACUCAAAGGAGACUGCCAGUGAUAAACUGGAGGAAGGUGGGGAUGACGUCAAGUCAUCAUGGCCCUUACGACCAGGGCUACACACGUGCUACAAUGGCGCAUACAAAGAGAAGCGACCUCGCGAGAGCAAGCGGACCUCAUAAAGUGCGUCGUAGUCCGGAUUGGAGUCUGCAACUCGACUCCAUGAAGUCGGAAUCGCUAGUAAUCGUGGAUCAGAAUGCCACGGUGAAUACGUUCCCGGGCCUUGUACACACCGCCCGUCACACCAUGGGAGUGGGUUGCAAAAGAAGUAGGUAGCUUAACCUUCGGGAGGGCGCUUACCACUUUGUGAUUCAUGACUGGGGUGAAGUCGUAACAAGGUAACC